RNAcentral lists this ribosomal RNA (253 nucleotides) under uncultured bacterium. RNAcentral describes it as "partial 16S ribosomal RNA". It matches the Rfam family "Bacterial small subunit ribosomal RNA", at positions 524 to 776 of the family's 1533-position model. RNAcentral also lists the same sequence under 1 other name. The record is from RNAcentral.
UACGUAGGUGGCAAGCGUUGUCCGGAUUUACUGGGCGUAAAGGAUGCGUAGGUGGAUAUUUAAGUGGGAUGUGAAAUACCCGGGCUCAACUUGGGUGCUGCAUUCCAAACUGGAUAUCUAGAGUGCAGGAGAGGUAAGUGGAAUUCCUAGUGUAGCGGUGAAAUGCGUAGAGAUUAGGAAGAACACCAGUGGCGAAGGCGACUUACUGGACUGUAACUGACACUGAGGCAUGAAAGCGUGGGGAGCAAACAGG